GAUGAACGCUGGCGGCGUGCCUAAUACAUGCAAGUCGAGCGAACAGAUAAGGAGCUUGCUCCUUUGACGUUAGCGGCGGACGGGUGAGUAACACGUGGGUAACCUACCUAUAAGACUGGAAUAACUCCGGGAAACCGGGGCUAAUGCCGGAUAAUAUGUUGAACCGCAUGGUUCUACAGUGAAAGGCGGUUUUGCUGUCACUUAUAGAUGGACCCGCGCCGGAUUAGCUAGUUGGUGAGGUAACGGCUCACCAAGGCAACGAUUGGUAGCCGACCUGAGAGGGAGAUCGGCCACACGGGAACUGAGACACGGUCCAGACUCCUAGGGGAGGAAGCAGUAGGGAAUCUUCCGCAAUGGGCGAAAGCCUGACGGAGCAACGCCGCGUGAGUGAUGAAGGUCUUCGGAUCGUAAAACGCUGCUAUUAGGGAAGAACAAAUGCGUAAGUAACUGUGCGCGUCUUGACGGUACCUAAUCAGAAAGCCACGGCUAACUACGUG
RNAcentral lists this ribosomal RNA (497 nucleotides) under uncultured bacterium. RNAcentral's name for it is "partial 16S ribosomal RNA". It matches the Rfam family "Bacterial small subunit ribosomal RNA", at positions 28 to 507 of the family's 1533-position model. The record is from RNAcentral.